RNAcentral lists this transfer RNA (68 nucleotides) under Marmota monax (woodchuck). RNAcentral describes it as "tRNA.Ala". The stretch from base 5 to 65 matches the Rfam family "tRNA", at positions 6 to 65 of the family's 71-position model. Rfam says of the family: Transfer RNA (tRNA) molecules are approximately 80 nucleotides in length. Their secondary structure includes four short double-helical elements and three loops (D, anti-codon, and T loops). The record is from RNAcentral. Lineage: Eukaryota; Metazoa; Chordata; Mammalia; Rodentia; Sciuridae.
GGAUUGUAGCUCAGUGGCAGAGCACUUGCCUUGCAUACGUGAGGUCCUGGGUUCGAUCCUCAGCACCA